RNAcentral lists this unclassified non-coding RNA (3810 nucleotides) under Homo sapiens (human). The record is from RNAcentral. Lineage: Eukaryota; Metazoa; Chordata; Mammalia; Primates; Hominidae.
GCGGCGGCCGCCUUCGGGGAAGGGGGUGGGUCCGGGGAGGGGUUUGCCAUCCUCCUCUAGUUAAAAGUAAGGGGGAAAAGAGUAAACGCGCGACUCCAGCGCGCGGCUACCUACGCUUGGUGCUUGCUUUCUCCAGCCAUCGGAGACCAGAGCCGCCCCCUCUGCUCGAGAAAGGGGCUCAGCGGCGGCGGAAGCGGAGGGGGACCACCGUGGAGAGCGCGGUCCCAGCCCGGCCACUGCGGAUCCCUGAAACCAAAAAGCUCCUGCUGCUUCUGUACCCCGCCUGUCCCUCCCAGCUGCGCAGGGCCCCUUCGUGGGAUCAUCAGCCCGAAGACAGGGAUGGAGAGGCCUCUGUGCUCCCACCUCUGCAGCUGCCUGGCUAUGCUGGCCCUCCUGUCCCCCCUGAGCCUGGCACAGUAUGACAGCUGGCCCCAUUACCCCGAGUACUUCCAGCAACCGGCUCCUGAGUAUCACCAGCCCCAGGCCCCCGCCAACGUGGCCAAGAUUCAGCUGCGCCUGGCUGGGCAGAAGAGGAAGCACAGCGAGGGCCGGGUGGAGGUGUACUAUGAUGGCCAGUGGGGCACCGUGUGCGAUGACGACUUCUCCAUCCACGCUGCCCACGUCGUCUGCCGGGAGCUGGGCUACGUGGAGGCCAAGUCCUGGACUGCCAGCUCCUCCUACGGCAAGGGAGAAGGGCCCAUCUGGUUAGACAAUCUCCACUGUACUGGCAACGAGGCGACCCUUGCAGCAUGCACCUCCAAUGGCUGGGGCGUCACUGACUGCAAGCACACGGAGGAUGUCGGUGUGGUGUGCAGCGACAAAAGGAUUCCUGGGUUCAAAUUUGACAAUUCGUUGAUCAACCAGAUAGAGAACCUGAAUAUCCAGGUGGAGGACAUUCGGAUUCGAGCCAUCCUCUCAACCUACCGCAAGCGCACCCCAGUGAUGGAGGGCUACGUGGAGGUGAAGGAGGGCAAGACCUGGAAGCAGAUCUGUGACAAGCACUGGACGGCCAAGAAUUCCCGCGUGGUCUGCGGCAUGUUUGGCUUCCCUGGGGAGAGGACAUACAAUACCAAAGUGUACAAAAUGUUUGCCUCACGGAGGAAGCAGCGCUACUGGCCAUUCUCCAUGGACUGCACCGGCACAGAGGCCCACAUCUCCAGCUGCAAGCUGGGCCCCCAGGUGUCACUGGACCCCAUGAAGAAUGUCACCUGCGAGAAUGGGCUACCGGCCGUGGUGAGUUGUGUGCCUGGGCAGGUCUUCAGCCCUGACGGACCCUCAAGAUUCCGGAAAGCGUACAAGCCAGAGCAACCCCUGGUGCGACUGAGAGGCGGUGCCUACAUCGGGGAGGGCCGCGUGGAGGUGCUCAAAAAUGGAGAAUGGGGGACCGUCUGCGACGACAAGUGGGACCUGGUGUCGGCCAGUGUGGUCUGCAGAGAGCUGGGCUUUGGGAGUGCCAAAGAGGCAGUCACUGGCUCCCGACUGGGGCAAGGGAUCGGACCCAUCCACCUCAACGAGAUCCAGUGCACAGGCAAUGAGAAGUCCAUUAUAGACUGCAAGUUCAAUGCCGAGUCUCAGGGCUGCAACCACGAGGAGGAUGCUGGUGUGAGAUGCAACACCCCUGCCAUGGGCUUGCAGAAGAAGCUGCGCCUGAACGGCGGCCGCAAUCCCUACGAGGGCCGAGUGGAGGUGCUGGUGGAGAGAAACGGGUCCCUUGUGUGGGGGAUGGUGUGUGGCCAAAACUGGGGCAUCGUGGAGGCCAUGGUGGUCUGCCGCCAGCUGGGCCUGGGAUUCGCCAGCAACGCCUUCCAGGAGACCUGGUAUUGGCACGGAGAUGUCAACAGCAACAAAGUGGUCAUGAGUGGAGUGAAGUGCUCGGGAACGGAGCUGUCCCUGGCGCACUGCCGCCACGACGGGGAGGACGUGGCCUGCCCCCAGGGCGGAGUGCAGUACGGGGCCGGAGUUGCCUGCUCAGAAACCGCCCCUGACCUGGUCCUCAAUGCGGAGAUGGUGCAGCAGACCACCUACCUGGAGGACCGGCCCAUGUUCAUGCUGCAGUGUGCCAUGGAGGAGAACUGCCUCUCGGCCUCAGCCGCGCAGACCGACCCCACCACGGGCUACCGCCGGCUCCUGCGCUUCUCCUCCCAGAUCCACAACAAUGGCCAGUCCGACUUCCGGCCCAAGAACGGCCGCCACGCGUGGAUCUGGCACGACUGUCACAGGCACUACCACAGCAUGGAGGUGUUCACCCACUAUGACCUGCUGAACCUCAAUGGCACCAAGGUGGCAGAGGGCCACAAGGCCAGCUUCUGCUUGGAGGACACAGAAUGUGAAGGAGACAUCCAGAAGAAUUACGAGUGUGCCAACUUCGGCGAUCAGGGCAUCACCAUGGGCUGCUGGGACAUGUACCGCCAUGACAUCGACUGCCAGUGGGUUGACAUCACUGACGUGCCCCCUGGAGACUACCUGUUCCAGGUUGUUAUUAACCCCAACUUCGAGGUUGCAGAAUCCGAUUACUCCAACAACAUCAUGAAAUGCAGGAGCCGCUAUGACGGCCACCGCAUCUGGAUGUACAACUGCCACAUAGGUGGUUCCUUCAGCGAAGAGACGGAAAAAAAGUUUGAGCACUUCAGCGGGCUCUUAAACAACCAGCUGUCCCCGCAGUAAAGAAGCCUGCGUGGUCAACUCCUGUCUUCAGGCCACACCACAUCUUCCAUGGGACUUCCCCCCAACAACUGAGUCUGAACGAAUGCCACGUGCCCUCACCCAGCCCGGCCCCCACCCUGUCCAGACCCCUACAGCUGUGUCUAAGCUCAGGAGGAAAGGGACCCUCCCAUCAUUCAUGGGGGGCUGCUACCUGACCCUUGGGGCCUGAGAAGGCCUUGCGGGGGUGGGGUUUGUCCACAGAGCUGCUGGAGCAGCACCAAGAGCCAGUCUUGACCGGGAUGAGGCCCACAGACAGGUUGUCAUCAGCUUGUCCCAUUCAAGCCACCGAGCUCACCACAGACACAGUGGAGCCGCGCUCUUCUCCAGUGACACGUGGACAAAUGCGGGCUCAUCAGCCCCCCCAGAGAGGGUCAGGCCGAACCCCAUUUCUCCUCCUCUUAGGUCAUUUUCAGCAAACUUGAAUAUCUAGACCUCUCUUCCAAUGAAACCCUCCAGUCUAUUAUAGUCACAUAGAUAAUGGUGCCACGUGUUUUCUGAUUUGGUGAGCUCAGACUUGGUGCUUCCCUAUCCACAGCCCCCACCCCUUGUUUUUCAAGAUACUAUUAUUAUAUUUUCACAGACUUUUGAAGCACAAAUUUAUUGGCAUUUAAUAUUGGACAUCUGGGCCCUUGGAAGUACAAAUCUAAGGAAAAACCAACCCACUGUGUAAGUGACUCAUCUUCCUGUUGUUCCAAUUCUGUGGGUUUUUGAUUCAACGGUGCUAUAACCAGGGUCCUGGGUGACAGGGCGCUCACUGAGCACCAUGUGUCAUCACAGACACUUACACAUACUUGAAACUUGGAAUAAAAGAAAGAUUUAUGAAACGUGUCUGUGUUUCCUUUGACCCACAGCACCUGGGCCCUGAGCAGCAGGCUUCCUAUGUUCAGUGGCCAGAAGCAGAGCUUCAGGUACAUUCGUGGUUUUCUCCGGUGGACAUGGGUCCUCAGAUCCCCUCCAGCCCAGUGUGGCCACCAGGGCACCUCCUUCAAUAGACUCCAAAAGGGGCAGCUCCUACCAUCUGGGAGAAGCAAUCUAAGGAGAUCACAAAAAGUAACGGAACAGGAGUCAUAAUCUUUCUUGAACUCCUGUGGUUUUUACUGAAACUUG